AACAUCGCGCACCUGCGGGAACCUGCGGAGGGAUCAUCAGAGUGAUCUGUGUGUGUGUGGGGACUGUUUACGCAGUGCCCCCCACCACACCAAUCUUGUGUGAACUGUUGUUUUGUGGUGUGUGUUGGUGUGUGAUGUGUGUGAUGCACUCCCACCAACAUCACAAACAAACUCUCUUUCAACCUUUGUCUAAACAUAUGUACCCACAAUUCAAAACAACUUUUAACAACGGAUCUCAGA
RNAcentral lists this unclassified non-coding RNA (240 nucleotides) under soil metagenome. RNAcentral's name for it is "partial contains 5.8S ribosomal RNA, internal transcribed spacer 2, and large subunit ribosomal RNA". The record is from RNAcentral.